This 253-nucleotide ribosomal RNA is filed under the name uncultured bacterium. RNAcentral's name for it is "partial 16S ribosomal RNA". It matches the Rfam family "Bacterial small subunit ribosomal RNA", at positions 524 to 776 of the family's 1533-position model. The record is from RNAcentral.
UACGGGGGGGGCAAGCGUUGUUCGGAAUUACUGGGCGUAAAGGGCUCGUAGGCGGCCAACUAAGUCAGACGUGAAAUCCCUCGGCUUAACCGGGGAACUGCGUCUGAUACUGGUUGGCUUGAGUGUGGGAGAGGGAUGCGGAAUUCCAGGUGUAGCGGUGAAAUGCGUAGAUAUCAGGAGGAACACCGGUGGCGAAGGCGGUUCUCUGGGCAUUACCUGACGCUGAGGAGCGAAAGUGUGGGGAGCGAACAGG